RNAcentral lists this long non-coding RNA (911 nucleotides) under Olea europaea (common olive). RNAcentral's name for it is "long non-coding RNA (OEUR_LNC013109)". The record is from RNAcentral. Lineage: Eukaryota; Viridiplantae; Streptophyta; Magnoliopsida; Lamiales; Oleaceae.
AGACUGAAAUUCUUCACAUAUAUACACGUGAAAGGGAAAAUCCUCAAGUAUGUGGGGAAAAAAAAAUUACUUUAGCUAGAUUUACGAUCUCUAGCCAUAGAUGAGCAGACAUUCACCUGAUCACCUCUGCGUACUUCCUUCUCUCUCACAUCAAACAUUAUUGUAAUUAAUCUUUAGCUAUAGCAAGUGACACAUUAUGGCCCCAUGUCCUAAAAAUUCAGUAAAAAGAAACUUCUGAUUUUGUAAAAGGAAAAGAACACAUUUGAAGAUACAAUAAUUUGUCACCAGAAAGAUCUCAAAGGUACGGAGACUAAUGACCACAGGAAGCUAAACCUAAGUGCCGUUGCGUGAAUCUCAGCAACACAUGAUAUGAAGUGAAUCUCCCCGAAUUAGCAGAGAAUAAUAUUGAAAUCAUCAGGAAAAUAUUAAAAUUUCAGAGAUUAUUAGAUAACAAUAUGGACACUAACAAUGCGAGAGCAAGGAGGAUUCAACUGAGGCAAUUAAACUUCCUAAUUUUCAAUUGAAGAACCUAUGGAAAACAGUGACAGAGGCUUUCUUUAUCUAAAUAGGGCUAGAGCGAAUUUCACAAUUUUAAUCUCUUGAAUUAAGAUGAUUAUUAGAAUUUUCUGAACAGCUACGAAAGGCCCUGAGGCCCUGUAACCGUCUAUGGCUCAUUUUGCAAGACCAGUUUUGCAUCAAGAAUUCAAAGAAAGUUCCAUUUGUGUUAAUGAUUCCAGACCACACUCUACUGGUAUAGGGGUACUUACCUAUAGAUGGCCAUAUGAAUUUUAACUUAUCUUGAACUUUGAGAAAGAAAGACAAUAGUAAAAAGUAGGAAAAUACUUAUCACAUUCAUAAGGAUCUCAUCUCAAAAUUAUCUAUGACACUUUAUGUCUCCAACAUGAUAUCUU